Molecule: ribosomal RNA, 253 nt
Filed under: uncultured bacterium
Lineage: Bacteria
Description: partial 16S ribosomal RNA
Rfam family: Bacterial small subunit ribosomal RNA
Source: RNAcentral
UACGGAGGGUGCAAGCGUUGCUCGGAAUUAUUGGGCGUAAAGGGUAGGUAGGUGGUCUUAUUUGUCUGGGGUGAAAGCCUUGGGCUUAACUCAAGAAGUGCCUCAGAGACGGUAAGACUAGAGUUCUGGAGAGGGUCGUGGAAUUCCCGGUGUAGCGGUGAAAUGCGUAGAGAUCGGGAGGAACACCAGAGGCGAAGGCGGCGACCUGGACAGUGACUGACACUCAACUACGAAAGCGUGGGGAGCAAACAGG